AACGAACGCUGGCGGCGUGCCUAACACAUGCAAGUCGAGCGGGAAAGUUCCCUUCGGGGAGCGAGUACAGCGGCGCACGGGUGAGUAACACGUAGGUAACCUACCCUGGAGACCGGGAUAACCUGCCGAAAGGCGGGCUAAUACCGGAUAAGACCACGAGGGCUGUGGCCCUUGCGGAAAAAGAUGGCCUCUGCUUGCAAGCUAUCACUCUGGGAUGGGCCUGCGCGCCAUUAGCAGUUGGUGAGGUAACGGCUCACCAAGGCCGAGAUGGCUAGCUGGUCUGAGAGGAUGGCCAGCCACACUGGGACUGAGACACGGCCCAGACUCCUACGGGAGGCAGCAGUGGGGAAUAUUGCGCAAUGGGCGAAAGCCUGACGCAGCGACG
RNAcentral lists this ribosomal RNA (385 nucleotides) under uncultured bacterium. RNAcentral's name for it is "bacterial SSU rRNA". It matches the Rfam family "Bacterial small subunit ribosomal RNA", at positions 29 to 396 of the family's 1533-position model. The record is from RNAcentral.